Athene cunicularia (burrowing owl) is the source of this 1116-nucleotide long non-coding RNA. RefSeq lists it as uncharacterized. The record is from RefSeq and is a predicted model, not a curated record. NCBI's taxonomy places the organism in Eukaryota, Metazoa, Chordata, Aves, Strigiformes, Strigidae. The transcript has 3 exons.
UGGUGUCAACGGCCGGCGCGCAGCUUUGUGCGCCUCACAGGAAAAAAAAAAAAAUCAAAAACGCUGCGGAAAGGUUUCUUGUGAGAGACUCUCUCGCUAAGUCAAGCUGAUAAUAAAAUCGAGGAAGACGAUCUGGUUUUACUCAGUGGAAUAAAAAUGUAGCCGUAGCGAGGGCGAUAAAAUAAUACCCUAAGCCUGAGGGCCGGCCGGGCGGGCCGCGGUGAGCCCAGCCUAGCAGCCACACCCGGCACGGAGCCUGCAGUGCCGGGGAAGAGCGUUCGGGAGAAAAUUCCCCUUCCCUCCUUCAUUUGGGAUUCGGGGGCGCUUCCUCGCCGCAGCACCAGUAGCCGAGGAAUUGAUAAACUUCCAUAUUGACCUCUGGGAAACGCAGAGCAGUUUUGCAGUUUUGAAGCUAGGGCGCGUGUUUCCGCAGUACCGCGCUGCGGCGUUGCCAAGGGGGAUGUUUUGGCAGCUGGGGAGAUUGUAACUCUGCAAGGUGCUGGGCCCUGGCCGGCAGCUUUACCAGCAGCUUGUGGGUAGCCAGUGCUCCUGGAGCGAGGCUGCUCAGCAGCCGGGUCGGGGAGUGGGUGUAGCUGUGACUACCUUGAGCUGCUUUUCUUCCUCAGAGAUUGAUUCUGGCAGGUAGUGGUGGACAUGCUGGCCUGGUUCUCCUUGCAGGUGUCUCGCUUGUCUCAAUACAAGGAAAGGCAUCUUAAGAAAAGACCAAGGAUUUGCACUCCUUCAGCAGAGCCCCCUAGAUUACUAAAUGGUUGAACAUCAAGCAUCUCUCUGAGUGGAUCUCUUGAGAUCCUGUGUGACCAAAUUUCAGAUUCUACUUUCCUCCUUUUACUGGCUAAAGACCCUCAUGGAUUACUCUUGCCAGUAGAGUCAUCUUUGAAGAUGCAGUCUGCAAAGCAUUUCUCCAAGCCUACCAAGGAUGAGACAAGCUUUCUUCGCAGCAGUGUGGAUGCUCAGCUUUUUGUGAGAAAGCUAGAUGGGAAACUGGGAAUCUGCCUGUUCUACAAGCAGACUCUAAUUUUCAAAGCUAUGUAAACAGAAGAAGAAAACUUAUCUUUUGAGUUUCAUUUGGAUGCUUUCAAAUUUCUGUGCAUGUUA